RNAcentral lists this long non-coding RNA (550 nucleotides) under Vigna radiata. RNAcentral describes it as "long non-coding RNA (VRAD_LNC014191)". Lineage: Eukaryota; Viridiplantae; Streptophyta; Magnoliopsida; Fabales; Fabaceae. The record is from RNAcentral.
UUUGAAUAAUUUUAAUUCUCAAAACUAAAAAAAAAAAUAAGAAACCACUCAAACCCUUACCGUCUCUCUCAUCCCUCAUUCCUCUCAACCCUUUCUCUUUCAUCUCUCCCACUCUAACUUUCUCUCUGUCAUCUCUCCCAACUGAAAAAAUAAAAAACACUCACUCAAUCCUAAUCCACAUUCCUUACUUAUCCAAUUUGUUUCACUCUCAUCUUCAUCCUCUCUCUCACCCACACACAGUAACCUAUGACACCGCAAUUUGUUGAUCUUGUUUUGUUCGUUCAUUUGUUUUCCACUUUAUAACAAAAUAAUUGAUGAUGUUGAUGUUGAUGUUGAUUUUUGAUUGGAGAGUUGUGUUAUAUAUUUUCCCUUUUGAUUGUUAUUAAAUUUUGGGGUUAAAUAUGUUUUUAGUCCCUAUACUUUAGGGCGAUUUUGAUUUUAGUCCAUUUUCAAACUAAGUUACAAUUUAGUCCUUCAACUUUAGAAAACUCUGGUUUUAGUCCUUUUUACCAAAUUUUUUUAACUUUAUUUGUUGUUACAAGCACGUUUC